This 393-nucleotide ribosomal RNA is filed under the name Streptopelia orientalis (eastern turtle dove). Its description in RNAcentral is "partial small subunit ribosomal RNA". It matches the Rfam family "Bacterial small subunit ribosomal RNA", at positions 805 to 1390 of the family's 1533-position model. Lineage: Eukaryota; Metazoa; Chordata; Aves; Columbiformes; Columbidae. The record is from RNAcentral.
AAUCUUGAUGCUUCAUAUAACCAAAGCAUCCGCCUGAGAACUACGAGCACAAACGCUUAAAACUCUAAGGACUUGGCGGUGUCCCAAACCCACCUAGAGGAGCCUGUUCUAUAAUCGAUAACCCACGAUACACCCGACCACUUCUUGCCAAAACAGCCUACAUACCGCCGUCGCCAGCUCACCUCUUUUGAGAGCGCCACAGUGAGCACAAUCGCCCUAACCCCGCUAACAAGACAGGUCAAGGUAUAGCUCAUGAAGUGGAAGAAAUGGGCUACAUUUUCUAGCUUAGAAAACUCACGAAAAGGGGCAUGAAAUAGCCCCUAGAAGGCGGAUUUAGCAGUAAAGCGGGAUAACACAAGCCCCCUUUAAGCCGGCCCUGGGGCACGUACACAC